Molecule: small nucleolar RNA, 85 nt
Organism: Acipenser ruthenus (sterlet)
Lineage: Eukaryota; Metazoa; Chordata; Actinopteri; Acipenseriformes; Acipenseridae
Product: small nucleolar RNA SNORD60
Exons: 1
Source: RefSeq, a predicted model, not a curated record
AGCCGAUGAUGAUCAUUUAACAUUUCUGACACCUCGUAUGAGUGCUGUUAAUGCAGUACUUGAUUACGUUUUAACUCUGAGGCUC